Molecule: ribosomal RNA, 253 nt
Filed under: uncultured bacterium
Lineage: Bacteria
Description: partial 16S ribosomal RNA
Rfam family: Bacterial small subunit ribosomal RNA
Source: RNAcentral
UACGUAGGCAGCAAGCGUUGUUUGGAGUUACUGGGCGUAAAGAGUGCGUAGGUGGUGCCCUAAGUCUGUUGUGAAAUCUCCCGGCUUAACUGGGAGGGUGCGGUGGAAACUGGGGUGCUUGAGUGUGGGAGAGGUAAGCGGAAUUCCUGGUGUAGCGGUGAAAUGCGUAGAUAUCAGGAGGAACACCGGUGGUGUAGACGGCUUACUGGACCACGACUGACACUGAGGCACGAAAGCGUGGGUAGCAAACAGG